This 253-nucleotide ribosomal RNA is filed under the name uncultured bacterium. Its description in RNAcentral is "partial 16S ribosomal RNA". It matches the Rfam family "Bacterial small subunit ribosomal RNA", at positions 524 to 776 of the family's 1533-position model. The record is from RNAcentral.
GACAGAGGGUGCAAACGUUGUUCGGAAUUACUGGGCGUAAAGCGCGUGUAGGCUGCUCUGCAAGUCGGAUGUGAAAGCCCUGGGCUCAACCUAGGAAGUGCACUCGAAACUGCGGAGCUUGAGUCUCGGAGAGGAUCGCGGAAUUCUCGGUGUAGAGGUGAAAUUCGUAGAUAUCGAGAGGAACACCGGUGGCGAAGGCGGCGACCUGGGCAGAUACUGACGCUGAGGUGCGAAAGCGUGGGGAGCAAACAGG